UCCCGGGACUCGCCGCUCGCAGCUACGCCCGGCCUUCCCCGCCACCCGGCCCCAUCUCCACCCUCACCGCUGCCCGCCAGGCCUCUUUGGCUGUAACUUGUUCUAGUUUCUUAGGAGUCAAACGCUUCGGGUUCGAGAAUCUUACCCAAAGGAAAGAAAUUGCAUUUAAGAGGAACUCCUUACAAACAAGUCAAGAGGAAGUGGGACUAUUAAAUUUUUAAAAUGUCGCUCAGGUAACAGCAAGGGUUACUCUGUUGCUGCCAAGAGAGCUCGAUAUGAGACGGCCAAACUGAGUCAGAUGCCUGUUUUGUUAAAAUAAGGGUUUCGAGACUGUAGAUUCAUGAGAUGGGGAUUCAGCAGAAGGAAAACAUUCCCAUCUCCAUUAUAGGAAGUUAUAAUGGUGUUGACUAUUUGGAAGAAAAGAGAAAAAGAGACAAAGAAGCGAUCUUGCUUAAUCACAGCAAAUGUUCUAUUAAACAUUAUGUAAAAACAAACUACAAUAGUAAUAAUAUUAGUCAAUUUGGGAGCUUUUUAACAAAUGAACAAAUAUUUCUUUUUAAGACUAUAAGUUCUAUGUGAAAUAAUAUAAUACACAACAGAGACUAGAGUGUUUCAUAAAACAGAAGGACUUUCAGGACUUUUUUUUUUUUUCCCCAAAAGGAAGAUAUGCCAGGAAAAUCUUUAUACAAUUAAAUGGUCUAUGUUCGUCAUGUCUAAAGGCAUGGAAAACACCCAAAAGCUAUUUUUUUUUUCUUACUUGGAGUCAGAUUAUUUAGUAGCAUACAUGUUUAGUGAAUAGACUUGUAUGGAACAUAACUCAUCUUUGAGAAUAUCAUCAUAGUGGUAAGGACUUGCCUGACCUUUAGAGAGCCAUAUACUUUCCUGUCUAAGGAAUAGUCUUGAAUAACAGAAUUACCAAAUGAGUACAAAACAAU
This is a long non-coding RNA of Sapajus apella (tufted capuchin), 935 nucleotides long. RefSeq lists it as uncharacterized. The transcript has 3 exons. NCBI's taxonomy places the organism in Eukaryota, Metazoa, Chordata, Mammalia, Primates, Cebidae. The record is from RefSeq and is a predicted model, not a curated record.